GAACGCUGGCGGCGUGCCUAACACAUGCAAGUCGAGCGGGGACAUGCGACGGAUAGGAAGUUUUCGGAUGGAAUUGAAGAUGUAUGUUCUAGCGGCGGACGGGUGAGUAACGCGUGAACAAUCUGUCCUUCACAGGGGGAUAACACAGCGAAAGUUGUACUAAUACCGCAUGAGACCACGGUGAGGCAUCUUACAGGGGUCAAAGGAGCAAUCCGGUGAAGGGUGAGUUCGCGUCCGAUUAGAUAGUUGGUGAGGUAAACGGCCCACCAAGUCGACGAUCGGUAGCCGACCUGAGAGGGUGAUCGGCCACAUUGGGACUGAGACACGGCCCAAACUCCUACGGGAGGCAGCAGUGGGGAAUAUUGGGCAAUGGGGAAACCCUGACCCAGCAACGCCGCGUGAGGGAAGAAGGUUUUCGGAUCGUAAACCUCUGUCCCAGGUGAAGAGAAAGAGACGGUAACCUGGGAGGAAGCCCCGGCUAACUACGUGCC
RNAcentral lists this ribosomal RNA (491 nucleotides) under uncultured bacterium. RNAcentral describes it as "bacterial SSU rRNA". It matches the Rfam family "Bacterial small subunit ribosomal RNA", at positions 31 to 509 of the family's 1533-position model. The record is from RNAcentral.